Molecule: ribosomal RNA, 394 nt
Filed under: uncultured bacterium
Lineage: Bacteria
Description: partial 16S ribosomal RNA
Rfam family: Bacterial small subunit ribosomal RNA
Source: RNAcentral
AUACGUAGGGGGCUAGCGUUAUCCGGAAUUACUGGGCGUAAAGGGUGCGUAGGUGGUUUCUUAAGUCAGAAGUGAAAGGCUACGGCUCGACCGUAGUAAGCUUUUGAAACUAAGAAACUUGAGUGCAGGAGAGGAGAGUAGAAUUCCUAGUGUAGCGGUGAAAUGCGUAGAUAUUAGGAGGAAUACCAGUUGCGAAGGCGGCUCUCUGGACUGUAACUGACACUGAGGCACGAAAGCGUGGGGAGCAAACAGGAUUAGAUACCCUGGUAGUCCACGCCGUAAACGAUGAGUACUAGCUGUCGGGGGUUACCCCCCUCGGUGGCGCAGCUAACGCAUUAAGUACUCCGCCUGGGAAGUACGCUCGCAAGAGUGAAACUUAAAGGAAUUGACGGGG